ACGUCGUUGGUUCGGCGUUCCGGCGUCGAGGCAAGAGGGAAUCCGGUGAGAAUCCGGGACUGUCCCGCAGCGGUAAGUGGCGACGAUGGCUUUCACAAGGCACUGGAGAGAUCUGGGAAGCGAAAGCCGGAGGUUGGUGUUACACCUGGAACCACAAGUCCGAAGACCUGCCAGCGA
RNAcentral lists this non-coding RNA (177 nucleotides) under uncultured Arachnia sp. Lineage: Bacteria; Bacillati; Actinomycetota; Actinomycetes; Propionibacteriales; Propionibacteriaceae. The record is from RNAcentral.